CUCAGAAUUUGGUAUUAGAUGUGCUCCCAAGGUCAGUACUUCCUUUAUCUGAUUGUUGUCAACAGGUUACUGUUACAUCCACUAUCAGCUGAAGUUGAUAUGGUUGUGUUGUUUAAAAGCCUAAAGCGUCCUCUUUCAGCCAUUUUAAGUCCUUUUUGUCCAUGAUUGCUUAUUGUUUCACAUGUCUGGAAGCCGGAAGGAAUGUUCUUAUAGAGGAUUCUAAUCCUUGGACGACUAUGUAUGGGUUUGUCUGCUGGCUUAUUUGGAAGUUAUGAAAUAAGAUUCUUCCCGACUGUGUUUCAUUUGGGCUAAUUUUCUGAGUAUUAAAAAGCUUGUUGCAUUUCAGGUCAGGUUAUCCCCAGGCAACCUGGCUUGUUAAACUUUUAUGGAUGUUGCAUCAAUUUCUUAUACUAGGGAUAUGGGAAUUUAUGGUCUGUAAUGUAUCGAGAAUAGCAGUUGGAAAUUUUUGUUCAGUUAGAACUAGUAGUGAAGGCUCUAUGUCGAAGGUGAGCUUUAUGCUAACCUAAUGGGGAUGAGGUAGGCAUGCGAUCAGGGCAAUCCCAGAACAGCUUAUUGAGUUGGAUUCCUUGCUAGCUGUUCAUGGAGAAUGAUUUGAAACUUGUUGAAGUGAUUUCAUUGUAAUAUUUUUCUUGUUUUUUUAUGCAUCGGUUGUCAUUUAAUUUGAGAAAAUACGGUAUGCAAUCAUUAAUUGGAAGUGUAAAAUGGAACGUGGAAAAAGAUAGUGGCACGUAGCGAAAUGCGAUGUUGAUAAGCUUAGGUGGACAUCAUUUUCUUGGUGCCAUUUAUUGGAAGUCAAUGAAAAUAAGUUCUAGUUUACUGUUGUUCAACAUGCGUGAAGUGUUUUGGGUCUGUUUUACUAGUAACUUUGGGUUUGGUUCAGCAUCUUCUGAAUGUACACAUGUAACCUCCUUACCUUUCUGGGGUUAGCUUCUCACAACUAUUUUGUCCCUUUCAGGGUAUAAAUACUGUAGCAGCUUCUCAAAUCUGGUUUGCUUCUCAACGAGGAAUGGUUCUUUGCAUGACCUGUUGACACUUAUAAAAUGUCGGGGUUACUAAAUCAAUGGAUCAGCAACAAAUCUUCAAGACAGUAGUGGACGUUCUUUUGCAACAUCUUUCUCUGGUCAGUCUGGUGCAGCCUCUCCUGUUUUCCAUCAUGCUGACAAUAUUCAGGCUUGCAUAAUAUUCAUGGUAGCUUUAAUGUUCCCAACAUGCCUGGUACACUCACAUCAAGAAACUCAACAUUAAGUAAUGUUCCAACUGUUGGGGUUCAACAACCUACUGGGAGCCUAUCUGGUGGAAGAUUGCAUCAAUAA
Long non-coding RNA from Hibiscus syriacus, 1334 nucleotides. RefSeq lists it as uncharacterized. The record is from RefSeq and is a predicted model, not a curated record. NCBI's taxonomy places the organism in Eukaryota, Viridiplantae, Streptophyta, Magnoliopsida, Malvales, Malvaceae. The transcript has 3 exons.